CGGACGGGUGAGUAAUGUCUGGGAAACUGCCCGAUGGAGGGGGAUAACUACUGGAAACGGUAGCUAAUACCGCAUAACGUCGCAAGACCAAAGAGGGGACCUUCGGGCCUCUUGCCAUCGGAUGUGCCCAGAUGGGAUUAGCUAGUAGGUGGGGUAACGGCUCACCUAGGCGACGAUCCCUAGCUGGCUGAGAGGAUGACCAGCCACACUGGAACUGAGACACGGUCCAG
This 230-nucleotide ribosomal RNA is filed under the name uncultured bacterium. Its description in RNAcentral is "partial 16S ribosomal RNA". It matches the Rfam family "Bacterial small subunit ribosomal RNA", at positions 99 to 334 of the family's 1533-position model. The record is from RNAcentral.